AAGAAUUCACAUUUAUUGAAAGAGCACUUAUCAAGAGUCGAAUGUACAUAAUAUAUUUCAAAGUGUAAAACUGAUUAGAUUAAAUGUUAAAUCAAAAACUAUUUCCAUCACCUCCCAAAAGAAAACAAAAAACACCUCUCACCUUUCUCAGCCAGGGUGCAGCAAAGGAGACAGAGGAAGAUUGCACAACACAGACAGAGUGCAGACAUCGUGCUAAAACAACAAGAGCUUCACAACUAACAAAUAGCAGGAAAUAGACAGUAUGUCUAUACCACAGUGAUGUCUGCUCUAGAACCACUCCACCAAUAGGAACACGAAGUAGGCCUACUUUACAGUUAGGUUCUGAACAAAUGAGGUAGGCAUAAUAAACCAAGACAUUACAAAAUAACAUAAAGAGAAUCAAGACCUGAACUUAUUUCAGUUGCAAUUGUGGGUGUCAGUAUGUGACAGAAUCAUAUGUUAGGGAAUCAUAGGUUAGGGAUAAAUGAGGUUUAACAACAAAACAUAAUUAUUUGAUUUGAACUUUUACUUCACUACAUUCCAAAACAAAAUAUGUACUUUUUACUCCAUACAUUUCCCCUGACACCUGUGGAGGAAAUGAAUAUUCAUGACAUACUAUACUGUUUAAUUAGACAUAGAAUGCUGUUUUCUACGUAAAGAUUGUCCAUUGUUAAAUGCUAGUAUUUUUUAUAACCUGAUACAAAGUUGCCUUUGUGUGACUUAGUCACAAGACUGGGUGAUUUCGUAAGAACCGUUUGGGUGUGACCGCAGCAUGUGACACAUCCCGUGGUUUUCUGCAGGAACUCAGCUGUAUGGGAAGUUGCAGGAAGGAGCACAUUAUAGUGUGAACUGUGACAAACGCAGUUACAUGGUUGAGCCCUUGUGCUAUCAACCUCCGGCUAUCUUAAUCUGCACUGACAAACCAAUCGCCUUUUAGACACUAUGCUCCGCCCAUUUCCACCCAUCUGCUAAACUGCCACAAAGACAGAGGUUGCAUUUUCUAUAAAAGCUGAGAGCCAACGCUAUUCGUUGGGCUUUCUGACUAUGCACUGUUGAGUGAUUGUCAUUUAUUGCUUCAUUUUUACAAAUCUUAUAAUAAAGUUAUUUGAUAGAAUCUGCAGUCUCUCUUCCUAUAGAAUGUCUACCACACACCCAAAAGUACUGGUUACAUUUCAAAUGCUUAGCAGGACAGGAAAGCUGCCCAAUUCAAACAAACAUCCCUGGUAAUCCUUACUGCCUCCGAUCUGGCGGACUCACCAAACACAAAUUAUUCAUUUGUAAAUUACGUCUGAGUGGUGGCUAUCCGUAAAUAAAUGUUUAAAAAAUAAAUAAAAAAUGGUGCAGUCUGGUUUGCUGUAUAUUUUAGCAAUUACAUUUACCUUCGAUAAUUAAGUAUAUUUAAAACCAAAUACUUUUAGACAAGUAGUAUUUUACUGGGUGGCUUUCACCUUUACUUGAGUCAUUUUCUAUUAAGGUAUCUUUACUUUUACUCAAGUAUGACACUGGGUAUUUGUUCCACCACUGUUGGAUUCUGGGGUAAACUUUGAACAUUGUUAUACUCAGAAGUAUAGGAACAUUAGUUACAUAAGAGACAUGAAGCGUGCCAUAAUGAAGUUUGGGAGGGGCUGAGUGCAGGGAAAACAAUCGCAUGUGACAGUACUGAUAUCACUUAGUUCCCUGCUUAGCAAGAAUGACGCAAUGUUUAGCGAUAAGGUGGAGACUCCACCCAAAGUUGGGUAUGAAUACUACCACGGGGGAGGCCAUGUCUGUGUCUGAAUUACAGCUGUAUUGACCCUUUGGGAAGAAUUAAACUUGGUUAAGCUUCUCUAGUGUCUGAGUUAUUUACUCAAAAUUAGAACCUAACAUUACAUAACAUAUCCUCUAGUCCCAGACAUGAUAGAGGUGAAUGGUUCACUACAUAACAUAUCCUCUAGUCCCAGACAUGAUAGAGGUGAAUGGUUCACUACAUAACAUAUCCUCUAGUCCCAGACAUGAGAGGUGAAUGAUUCACUACAUAACAUAUCCUCUAGUCCCAGACAUGAGAGGUAAAUGAUUCACUACAUAACUUAUUCUCUAGUCCCAGAAAUGAGAGGUGAAUGGUUCACUACAUAACAUAUCCUCUAGUCCCAGACAUGAGAGGUGAAUGGUUCACUACAUAACAUAUUCUCUAGUCCCAGACAUGAGAGGUGAAUGAUUCAAGUAUUCUAUAUCAGCUAUGUUUUUUUUAAAAGGCAGUAAAUGAGGAUGGCAGUAAACUUAACCUGGGUAUGUGGUAAGCUGAUCCUCCAGACAGUGGAAGUUAAGCUUUCUACACAUUUCUGUACUGAAUGAAAUAUUAUCACUACCUUUAUAAAACAAUGUCUAUCUUUAUUUUCCAAACACAAUUCAACACAAUCACUUUGUCUUUUAAUGAUUUUAAGCAUAUUUUAUCACAGGCUUAACACCUUACAAAGGCUUUGUACUUUUUAAAACAUUUUUAACAUAGGCCACCCCUGUUGUCAAAUCAAAAUUGUAUUUGUCACAUGCGCUGAAUACAACAGGUGUAGACCUUACAAUGAAAUGCUUACUUACAAGCCCUUAACCAACAUUGCUUUAAGAAGUUAAGAAGAAAAACGUGUUAACAUAGAUAAAAGUAACAAACAGCAGCAGUAAAAUAACAAUAGCGAGGCUAUAUACAGGGGGAACCGGUACAGUAAAUGUGCGGCAAUUUUGUGAAACUCAUGAGAGACAAUACGGCCACAUUACCAUAACGCUGUUUAUAUAAUAGCCUCAGGGCACCGCUUGCAAGCCUCCCUUUUUCCUCCUAACAUAACGAUGGUCAUUAAUGCCAAAGAGUUCUAUUUCUGUUUCAUCAGACUAGAGGACAUUUCUCCAAAAAGUACGAUAUUUGUCCACAUGUGCAGUUGCAAAUCGUAGUUUUAAUAGCAGUUUUGGAGCAGUGGCUUCUUCCUUGCUGAGCGGCCUUUCAGGUGUCAUGACAUUGCCCUCUUUGGACACAGCGAGCACCAUCUCCCUCUGUCUCCUACACCCAGGCUGCUGUGUUCAGAGAGGUCGUAAAUUCCUGGAGGAGACUAUCUCCUCAUGGCCACAGUAUAGAGAGUGAGUUUUUAUAGAGAGAACAAAGGAAUUUCUUCCACCUCACAGAACUGGAGGUCCGAACAAUAUUUAUGUUCUGGAGAAUGUAUAAAAGAUUGGUGAAGAAUCCAGCUACGAACUGGUCCGUUUGGUACAAUUUUGUGAAACUCAUGAGAGACAAUACGGCCACAUUACCAUAACGCUGUUUAUAUAAUAGCCUCAGUUAUGAGGCUUACAUCUAAUUGUUGUAUAAAAUGAAUGAGUGAGGAUGGAACUGUUUGUGAAAUUGUGUAAUGUGAUUUUGGACUGUUUAAUGAAGGAAACUCCAAUUCCCUUUUGGAGUUUAACUAAUCAGAGGACCACCCAUGAGCACAGUUAUGGUCUGGUGUCAUGGGACUGGCCCUUUUCUGCUCUUCUAAAUAAAAUCCCCACCUAGGUUUUCUAUCACCAGACCAGCUUACCUCGAUAACGAGAGGGCUAAGGUUUGAGACGAGACCAGCUUACCUUGAUAAUGAGGGGCAAGGUUUGAGAGGAGGCCAAGCUUACCUCAAUUACGAGAUGGCUAAAGGUUGCAGACCAUGCAUUUCUCUUGCUGAACUUUUAACCAUACCAUGUGGUUAAACUCUUAGACUAUCGAUACCGACAGAAUAAGAACAAGUCUUUGAUAUUAAUUACUAGUCUGCAGCUAGGAAUUCGGUAUCAUUGAACGCGAAGACCGACAACCGCCAAAACAGCUAAUCUAUAACGUCAUGAAUGAAUGUUACUCUGAACUAUCCAUUCUAACCACAACAGAGAGAGAGACAGAGAGGACAGAGACAGAGAGGACAGACUCUCCAACAGAAACAAACUUUUCAACAGAGAUCCCGAUGACACACUGAACUCUAACAUCAGGUUUUAGUCACAAUAUAUGAAAGAAUAGUCUGGUGUGGUUAACAACUACAGACAAUGCUGUUAACACUUAGCUUGGUAGCAGGAUAAUGCAUGCACUCCAUUUCUCCUGCAGAGGGGGAACACAAUAGUGUUGAACCAGAUUGUUCUCUCUUCCAGGCAAAGCAUUAACAUUCAGUUAGCUGUGUGGCGUGAGAGACAGAGCAGACAUGACACCGACAGGGAAGAGAGCCCAUAACACUCCGGAUAAUACAUCUGUCGCUACGGAAACAGUCCUGUCCUGGUGCUGGAGUCGUGCUCUGCUGGGACUGCUGUAUCCUCAGGCUCUGGUUCCAUAGGGGACAAUAGGAAUACCAACACUGUUAUACACCAUUUUACCACACACAUUUUAUACACUGCAUUUUACUAUGAAUUUGAUCGUUUUGACAGGAAUCCCUCUUCGAUUAGGUAGACAAAAAUAAUAUACUCAAACAUUCUGCCACAAAAGAGUCUUCCUGUGCCACUGGUUCAUCUGGAAAGAGAAACCAGAAGCAACCUUUUACAGGGGUUGAUACUGUGUGCUCUACCAUGUUUUGUGAUUUGUUACAGAGACAAUUGAAUAACAAAUCCUGAAUUCCCAUCUGGGGAGGAGAAGGAGAGCAAUAGAGAAACUAAAACAAUAAAAACUAAACUAAGUGAUCUUGUCGAGGAGUUAGUUCUCCAUUCCACUUAUAUAGCAACAUCCUGGCAUUUAGCCAGAACAGAAAGUACUCUCCUAAUCUUCCCAGACCUCUGCAUUCCUCUCGGCAGAGAUUGUCAAAUGCAAGGUCGUGUUCACUAGGCACGAAAUGGAAAGAAGCAGUCUGAAAUGGGGAGGAACUAUCUGAAUAACUUCUUGAAGCAUUUUGCAACAGUGUGUCCUAAUGGACAUGACCCUGGGUGCUCAUGUUGUCUGAGUCUUCUGGCUUGAAACAGCUUGAGAAGCAGCAGUCCAAUGGCAAGAGAGCCUACUACCACAAAUACAGCAGUCACAUUCUUGUAACUGUUCUUUGGAAUUUCCUUUUGAUUUGCAGCAUUCUCAGGAACCUGGUGCUGGUCUCAUACUGUAACACACAAAAUCAGAAUCAUUAAAAAUGAAAAUCAUGUCACAUUCAGGUAUGCGAUCAGGGAUGCAAUGAAUUAAGUCAUGUUUGUAGGGUGAGUCAAUUUAUAUUGGAUACUAAUAGAUGAUAAUGUCAGAAAAGCAAGAUUUCUUGAUGGAUCAUCUGCACAGUGGAAAUCAUGAUGCAAAAAGGAGAAUACUAAACAGUCAGUGUUAGAGUGUGAGGAAGGCACUUUGAAUUCCAAACUAUGUGUUAAGCCCUUAGUUUUUCCUGACUGGGAAAUACUCAGGGCCCUACCUAUAAACAUUGGCCUCCAAAAGCUUUGAGCUCACCUGUGACCUUCAGCAUGAAGUUACAAUUUGUGUUUCCACUGUCAGUGUUCACCACACACUCAUACGGACCCUCUUCUUCAGGCUGGGUUUCUUUAACCAACAGGGACACAACUUUGUCUCUCAUUGGCAGGUGGCAUGGAAAGCUGAUAUUUUGGGCUCAGCAGCAUCCUGGGAUUGGAGGAUUGUAUAUAUAUAUGUGAACACAGGUUCACCUUUGUAAUGACCAUUCUGGUCCAGCCUCCACAACCUGCUUUAUGUUUACAUUACCAGGGGAUUCCUCACUGAACUUCACAGAGCAGUCUAGGACUGCAUCCUUCCCAGAUUCCACCUGGAUGACCUGCUUCAACUCUGAGCGCUGGUUUAGAC
This 5743-nucleotide long non-coding RNA is filed under the name Salmo salar (Atlantic salmon). RNAcentral's name for it is "lncRNA (ENSSSAG00000104626.1)". Lineage: Eukaryota; Metazoa; Chordata; Actinopteri; Salmoniformes; Salmonidae. The record is from RNAcentral.